UUUCUCCUACGGGAGGCAGCAGUAGGGAAUCUUCCACAAUGGGCGAAAGCCUGAUGGAGCAACGCCGCGUGUGUGAUGAAGGGUUUCGGCUCGUAAAACACUGUUGUAAGAGAAGAAUGACAUUGAGAGUAACUGUUCAAUGUGUGACGGUAUCUUACCAGAAAGGAACGGCUAAAUACGUGCCAGCAGCCGCGGUAAUACGUAUGUUCCAAGCGUUAUCCGGAUUUAUUGGGCGUAAAGCGAGCGCAGACGGUUAUUUAAGUUCUGAAGUGAAAGCGCCUCAGCUCAACUGAGGAAUUGCUUUGGAAACUGGAUGACUUGAGUGCAGAGAG
This 332-nucleotide ribosomal RNA is filed under the name uncultured bacterium. RNAcentral's name for it is "bacterial SSU rRNA". It matches the Rfam family "Bacterial small subunit ribosomal RNA", at positions 333 to 655 of the family's 1533-position model. The record is from RNAcentral.